UGGGGAAUAUUGCACAAUGGGCGAAAGCCUGAUGCAGCAACGCCGCGUGAGUGAUGAAGGCCUUCGGGUUGUAAAGCUCUGUCUUCUGGGACGAUAAUGACGGUACCUGAGGAGGAAGCCACGGCUAACUACGUGCCAGCAGCCGCGGUAAUACGUAGGUGGCAAGCGUUGUCCGGAUUUACUGGGCGUAAAGGGAGCGUAGGCGGACUUUUAAGUGAGAUGUGAAAUACCCGGGCUCAACCUGGGUGCUGCAUUUCAAACUGGAAGGCUAGAGUGCAGGAGAGGAGAGUGGAAUUCCUAGUGUAGCGGUGAAAUGCGUAGAGAUUAGGAAGAACACCAGUGGGGAAGGCGACUCUCUGGACUGUAACUGACGCUGAGGCUCGAAAGCGUGGGGAGCAAACA
This 402-nucleotide ribosomal RNA is filed under the name uncultured bacterium. RNAcentral describes it as "bacterial SSU rRNA". It matches the Rfam family "Bacterial small subunit ribosomal RNA", at positions 355 to 774 of the family's 1533-position model. The record is from RNAcentral.